UCCCGCUGAGAAUGGGACUGCUUUGUUUCAGCCGACAGAACCAGCAAGCCAGAAAGGUGUUGAAUACACACACACACUGACUUAACGGAAAAUUAUCAAUGUGCAUAUAAUUAUAACACUCGAAGCAAAUAGAUAGGAAGAUUCUGUCUCUAAAGUUUAACAACAAAAGACAAAGGUACAGUAUACAAUAAUACAUAACACUGACGUUAUACAAAGUUUUAUCUCCUCAAAGUGC
This 235-nucleotide long non-coding RNA is filed under the name Gopherus agassizii (Agassiz's desert tortoise). RNAcentral describes it as "lncRNA (ENSGAGG00000020805.1)". Lineage: Eukaryota; Metazoa; Chordata; Testudines; Testudinidae. The record is from RNAcentral.